This is a small nucleolar RNA of Dendrobium catenatum, 104 nucleotides long. The record is from RefSeq and is a predicted model, not a curated record. NCBI's taxonomy places the organism in Eukaryota, Viridiplantae, Streptophyta, Magnoliopsida, Asparagales, Orchidaceae.
GAGCAUGAUGAAGACAUUUUUUAAGUAGCUCUUUAUAUCUUUCCCAUGAUUCAUAAAUAGAUUCAACAUCUAAUUAGUUAAAAUAUGUUGUCAUUUCUUAGCUU